Nasonia vitripennis (jewel wasp) is the source of this 2841-nucleotide long non-coding RNA. RefSeq lists it as uncharacterized. Lineage: Eukaryota; Metazoa; Arthropoda; Insecta; Hymenoptera; Pteromalidae. The record is from RefSeq and is a predicted model, not a curated record. The transcript has 12 exons.
AUCACCUGCUAAUCAGCUGACGUUUUGGCAUGAUUAUCAGCUGAUUAUCAGUUGAUUGCCAUCUGAUUUUUUUCAGUAGGGCAGAAAGUCAGCCUAAAGAUUCAUAUGAAAAUAAAUCAUCAUCACCAACUUUUGCAGUAGUAACAUAUCCAUGUGGUACAUUGUACAGUUAGUGAAUGAUGAGGAAAUGCAUAUAAUUCCGGGAUUUUGGAUGAAAGACGACAAAACUAGCACUGCGUGGCCCCCUUAUAGUUGUUCGUUUGAAGAUGUGCAAACAUCUACUCAGGAUAGAGAAAAGCCAAAGAGUGACUGGACCAAUCGUAAUAUUGCAAAAAUAUUGAAAAAGUCAGUAACUUACAAUUCUUCCUCGAAUUGGAUCAAGGAGCAGAAAAACCAUCAGGAACAGAAGAGCGAAUUCAAAAGUCCUGAUUCCAAUCAUGACCAUGGCAUAAGGGAAAAUAUACCCCCUACACAUAAGUUUGUUGAAAUGGAAAGGAGCUCAAUGGAAGCUGACAACGAAGAUCCUUUUAUUAUAGUUAUUAUAAGGAAUAGUGAUGUAGAAUACCCAGCAAUAGUUCCAAAGUCUUGGAUAUGUGAUCAGGGUAAAACAGUAAAAUGGCCUCCGAAGUUCUCAAACCCCAAUAUAAUUGCAUAAAAACAAACUCCUAAAGAAGAUUGGUUUCAAUGCAACUUGAAAGAUGUUUAUUGGACUACGGAUACGUUUGAUUAUGACGAGGCCAUUCAAAAAGUUAAAAUAGCAGAAAAUUUGUCUGGCGCAGAAAAUGUUGAGGAAGCAUUCAGAGAACAGCAAAACCCUAGAACAAGAAGGAAUAGAGCUGUAAAAAUAUGUGAAAGUAGUGAGGAUAAAAUAAAUAGUAAAAGAAGAAAACUAAAGAAAGUAAUAGGAAAUAAUAAAAAAGAUAAUUUUGGUAAUAAUAACAUCGCUGCAUGAGCUGUCUCCAUUGUUAAUAACCUCGCCGAAAUCCGUAGUAAAUAGUCAAGAUAGUCAGGGCUUCAACAAAAUCAUACCGUCGGGUAUUCAAAACCAAACGGAAACUAUCAAUGAACCUUUUGAGAAAGAAGAUUCUGUUUUGAUCAACUCAAAAGAAGAAAAAGAAGAAGACGAAGAAGUAGAUAAUAGGUACGUGUACAAUAAAAAAAGUUGUUGUAAAUACUUUCGAAAAAAAAGAAAAAUAUUGAAAAUGAAAUGAACUUAAAUAAUAGCAAAGCAAAGCCUGCAAUAAAAUGUAUAGAUAACAUUACAAAUCAAAAAAAUCUCCCUUUCAGUUCAAUCGCCAAUUUUUUAAUUGCAAAACGUACUUGUAGUUCAGGCAAAAACUCUUUAUCAAAGACUUCAUCUUUUAAUUUAAAUACAAAAGUAAAUCAUGGAUACAUUGUCAACGAACAACUUGGCGAUAAACAUUCAGAGGUUUUAAAAAGUGAUCCUUCUGGGGGUCCAAAUGAUGAAGAUGCAUUGAAUGUUGAGGAUUUGAAUGAAAUUUUAGGAGAUUCAAAGGAUGAACAUUCAAAUGAUUCGAGAAUUAAUGAUGAUUCAAGGUUCAAGCCUCCUAGAAUUGAUGAACAUCCUGAGGCUUCAAGAAAACGAAAACUUACAGGGUGUUCAGAGGGUUUGAGUACCAAUAAACGUACAGGGGGUUCGAGAACGAAAGAACGUUCAGAAAGUUCAAGAACUGAGUCCACAGCACUAAAAAUUAAUGAGAGUAAUUUUAAGCCUGAAGAAUUUAUUAAUUUACCUAUGGAUAAUAAAUUAAAUGUGAUUGGAAUUAAGUAGAUACUGAUUUUAUUCAUGAUACGCAAAACAUUAUUGGAUAAUUUAUAAAAUUAUCAGUGCAACAGCAUCAGAUAAUUUCUAAUCAAGCUAUCUGUACGACUUCAAACGUCCUGUAAUAGUUGUAACAAUAAUGCUGCUCGUGGAGAUAUCAAUAUGAACGAUACAUUAUUAAUCAGAAGUCAUUUACCAAUAGAAGACCCAGACGUCUUUGAUAACUUUGACAAUGAUUUGCAAUCAAAUGCGACAUUUAGAAAAAUUGAGAGUAUUAUGUUGACAUUUGUAAACGUGAUAUUUUGACUAAAUUCAAUUGGAAUCACUUGCAAGCAUAUACCAAUAAAAACGACUGGAAAAAAACAGUGUGUGACAUUAUGACCAAUGUGGUGACCGAUAUUGUGCAAGAUUUUUAUAGCUUUACAGGACGAACAGGAAAAAAACCGUUUAAUCAGACUCUCCUAUACUCCAUGAUUGAAAUUGCGACAACAAGAAUUGUAAAUAAAAAUUGUCGACCAACAAUAAGUGAACUACAAACAUAUGUGAGCAACCAUUUGAAACAAGCCAAAAAACGAGCUGGUGGUUAUGAAAACAAACGUGGAGAUGGAUCAAAAAAAGGAAAAGCCAAGUCAUCAAACCGACAAAAGAAAAAUGCUAAAAAAGAAGAUUUAAAGAAACUAGUAUUAUCUUUAUUACCGGAUGGUUCAAACAGUGAUGCAAAUGAUUCCGUUUAAUGCGAAAUAAUGACUUCAAAAAUAUGUUUAAUAACAUUAGAUUUAAUAGUUAACUUAGUUUUAACUUAAGUUUAUUUCACUGCUGGUAAAAUGCAAAACCUUUUCCAUGGUUCUCUAUAAUUAAUUACUUAACUUCUUUAUAUUGUCAAAAAAAAUUAUUGUAGUUUAUUUUUAAUAACAAGCUAAGUAAUUAUAAUGUAUUGCGAGAGCGAUUAAAUUAGUAAAUAAGUAUUACUGUUGUACUAUAGAAAAUUGCAUGUAUCUAGUGAUACAAUAAAGUAAUUACAUGUAGAAUAUUUAAAAAAUAAAUAUUUAUCUUCAUUA